Molecule: ribosomal RNA, 253 nt
Filed under: uncultured bacterium
Lineage: Bacteria
Description: partial 16S ribosomal RNA
Rfam family: Bacterial small subunit ribosomal RNA
Source: RNAcentral
UACGUAGGCAGCGAGCGUUGUUCGGAAUUACUGGGCGUAAAGAGUGUGUAGGCGGUGCUCUAAGUUCGGUGUGAAAUCUCCUGGCUCAACUGGGAGGGUGCGCCGGAAACUGGAGUGCUUGAGCGUGGGAGAGGAAAGCGGAAUUCCAGGUGUAGCGGUGAAAUGCGUAGAUAUCUGGAGGAACACCGGUGGCGAAGGCGGCAUCCUGGACCGACACUGACGCUGAGGAGCGAAAGCCAGGGGAGCAAACGGG